CGAACGCUGGCGGCAUGCCUAACACAUGCAAGUCGAACGAUUGCCUUCGGGUGAUAGUGGCGCACGGGUGCGUAACGCGUGGGAAUCUGCCCUUAGGUUCGGAAUAACAGCUGGAAACGGCUGCUAAUACCGGAUGAUAUCGCGAGAUCAAAGAUUUAUCGCCUGAGGAUGAGCCCGCGUUGGAUUAGGUAGUUGGUGGGGUAAAGGCCUACCAAGCCGACGAUCCAUAGCUGGUCUGAGAGGAUGAUCAGCCACACUGGGACUGAGACACGGCCCAGACUCCUACGGGAGGCAGCAGUGGGGAAUAUUGGACAAUGGGCGCAGGCCUGAUCCAGCAAUGCCGCGUGAGUGAUGAAGGCCCUAGGGUUGUAAAGCUCUUUUACCCGGGAAGAUAAUGACUGUACCGGGAGAAUAAGCCCCGGCUAACUCCGUG
Molecule: ribosomal RNA, 433 nt
Filed under: uncultured bacterium
Lineage: Bacteria
Description: partial 16S ribosomal RNA
Rfam family: Bacterial small subunit ribosomal RNA
Source: RNAcentral